UACGUAGGGGGCUAGCGUUGUCCGGAUUUAUUGGGCGUAAAGAGCGUGUAGGCGGCCAGGUAGGUCUGCUGUGAAAACUCGAGGCUCAACCUCGAGACGUCGGCGGAAACCAUCUGGCUAGAGUCCGGAAGAGGAGAGUGGAAUUCCUGGUGUAGCGGUGAAAUGCGCAGAUAUCAGGAAGAACACCCGUGGCGAAGGCGGCUCUCUGGGACGGUACUGACGCUGAGGCGCGAAAGCUAGGGGAGCAAACGGG
Molecule: ribosomal RNA, 253 nt
Filed under: uncultured bacterium
Lineage: Bacteria
Description: partial 16S ribosomal RNA
Rfam family: Bacterial small subunit ribosomal RNA
Source: RNAcentral